Non-coding RNA from Podarcis lilfordi (Lilford's wall lizard), 71 nucleotides. Lineage: Eukaryota; Metazoa; Chordata; Lepidosauria; Squamata; Lacertidae. The record is from the annotation of a GenBank genome assembly.
UGGAUAGCACAGUCGGUAGAGCAUGAGACUCUUAAUCUCAGGGCCAUAUGUUCAAGCUCCACGUUGAACAA